Molecule: non-coding RNA, 588 nt
Organism: Xyrauchen texanus (razorback sucker)
Lineage: Eukaryota; Metazoa; Chordata; Actinopteri; Cypriniformes; Catostomidae
Source: the annotation of a RefSeq genome assembly
AUGGAAAGAUACCUGCUUCUGAUUUUAAUUGUGACUCCUGAUGUGAUGACUGCAGACCAGAUUGAACCAAAUAUAGGAACAAUCAUCAUUAAGAAAGAAGAUGAUAAAGUAAUUCUGAGCUGCUCAUAUGAUACAAGCAGCAGUUAUGUUAGACUUUACUGGUACAGACAGUAUCCUAAUACAGAACCUCAGUAUUUAAUUUGGAAAGAUGCUCGGUCACGGAGUGAUACUGGGACCCCCUCUGAUUCUCGGUUUCAGUCAACUACAUCACAAACAUCCACUGAACUCAUUACUAAUGGUGUAACUCUGUCAGAUUCAGCUCUCGACUACUGUGCUCUUUGGAACCCACAAAAAGUGAACGGAUCCCCUAAAUUCAUGCUGAACAAAAUCAGUACGUAUGGAGAUAAAAACCAAGAGUUCCAGGAGAGAUUUAAUGCAGAUAUCGACAGCUCUUCAAAAUCAGUUCCACUGACAAUCCAGGAUCUGCAUGUGUCUGACUCUGCUGUGUAUUACUGCGCUCUGCAGCCCACACAGAAAUCCUACAAGGGGUUUGCUCCUCACCCCUGCAUCCUAUCUCCGGCAAGAUGA